GCAGGUUGAAGCGCGGGUAAGACCGCGUGGAGGACCGAACCCACCUGGGUUGAAAACCGGGGGGAUGACCUGGGGCUAGGGGUGAAAGGCCAAUCAAAUUCCGUGAUAGCUGGUUCUCUCCGAAAUGCAUUUAGGUGCAGCGUCGGUCGAUUGCGUCGCGGGGGUAGAGCUACCGGAUGCUUGCGGGCCCUUGUUGGGUACCAACAGCAGCCGAACUCCGAAUACCGUUGACGUGUAUUCCGGCAGUGAGUCGGCGGGGGAUAAGCUCCGUCGUCGAGAGGGAGACAGCCCAGACCGUCGUCUAAGGUCCCGAAGCGUGUGCUAAGUGGGAAAGGAUGUGGAGUCGCAUAGACAGCCAGGAGGUUGGCUCAGAAGCAGCCAUCCUUGAAAGAGUGCGUAACAGCUCACUGGUCUAGUGGUUCCGCGCCGACAAUGUAGCGGGGCUCAAGCACACCACCGAAGACGCGGCAGCAAUCUUCAUGGUUGCUGGGUAGGAGAGCGUCCUGCGAGGGGCGAAGCGGCCGGGUAACCGUGCCGUGGACUUCGUGGGAGUGAGAAUGCAGACAUGAGUAGCGAGAGACGGGUGAGGAUCCCGUCCGCUGGAUGACCAAGGGUUCCGGGGCCACGUUCGUCGUCCCCGGGUGAGUCGGGUCCUAAGGCGAGGCCGACAGGCGUAGUCGAAUGGAUGAACGGGUGGAUAUUCCCGUACCGACCAUGGACCGGCAAAACCGAGACGGUGAGUACUAACCUCCGCCUCGUGGUGGUUCCUUCCUUCGGGUUGGUUCCGCCGCGUGGUGUUGGGAGCGUAGCCGUAGUAGGUCAGCGCAGGGGUGACACGGAAUGGGAGCCGGCCGCGGAGGUGGUUUUCCGUGGUCAAGCACGCAGCCAGUCAUGUAGGCAAAUCCGCAUGGCGCGCAUGGCGAGGUGUGAUGAUGGGAGCCUUUUGGGCUCGAUAUCCGGUUGUCCAGGCCGUCGAGAAAAGCCUCGGCGUGAGGGCCAUGGCCGCCCGUACCCCAAACCGACACUGGUGGUCAGGUAGAGAAUACCAAGGCGAUCGAGCGAAUCCUGGUCAAGGAACUCGGCAAAUCACUCCCGUGCCUUCGGUAUAAGGGAGACCCGCUGGGGUGAACCGGCUAGCCCGGGGAGCUUUGGUGGGUGGCACAGACCAGGGGGUAGCGACUGUUUACCAAAAACACAGGUGCAUGCGAAGGCGCAAGCCGCUGUAUAUGCACUGACGCCUGCCCGGUGCCGGAAGGUUAAGAGGAUCCGUCAGCCCUCGGGUGAAGCGGUGAAUUCAAGCCCCGGUAAACGGCGGUGGUAACUAUAACCAUCCUAAGGUAGCGAAAUUCCUUGUCGGGUAAGUUCCGACCUGCACGAAUGGCGUAACGACUUCCCCACUGUCUCGACCAGGAGCUCGGCGAAAUUGCAGUACGAGUAAAGAUGCUCGUUAAGCGCAGAAGGACGAAAAGACCCCGGGACCUUUACUAUACCUUGGUAUUGGCGUUAGGCGCGGAUUGUGUAGCAUAGGCGGGAGGCUUCGAAGCGGGUGCGCCAGCAUUCGUGGAGCCGCAAGGUGAAAUACCGCUCUGUUCUCGUUUGACGUCUAACCUCGACAAGUCAUCCUUGUCAGGGACAGUGCCUGGCGGGUAGUUCAACUGGGGCGGUUGCCUCCCAAAGAGUAACGGAGGCGCUCAAAGGUCCGCUCAGCCCGGUUGGCAAUCGGGUGUCGAGUGUAAUCGCACAAGCGGGCUUGACUGCGAGGACGACGGUCCGAGCAGGGACGAAAGUCGGAGAUAGUGAUCCGGUGCCGGCGCACGGGCGCGGCAUCGCUCAACGGAUAAAAGGUACCCCGGGGAUAACAGGCUGAUCAUUCCCAAGAGUCCAUAUCGACGGGAUGGUUUGGCACCUCGAUGUCGGCUCGUCGCAUCCUGGGGCUGGAGCAGGUCCCAAGGGUUCGGCUGUUCGCCGAUUAAAGCGGCACGCGAGCUGGGUUCAGAACGUCGUGAGACAGUUUGGUCUCUAUCCUCUGCGCUCGUUGGAAUCCUGAGGAGGCCUGCCCAUAGUACGAGAGGACCUGGGUGGACGAACCUCUGGUAUGCCGGUUGUCGCGCCAGCGGCACGGCCGGUUGGCUACGUUCGG
This 2140-nucleotide ribosomal RNA is filed under the name human gut metagenome. RNAcentral describes it as "bacterial LSU rRNA". It matches the Rfam family "Bacterial large subunit ribosomal RNA", at positions 740 to 2758 of the family's 2925-position model. The record is from RNAcentral.